GGAAGUGGGAUGACGUCAAAUCAUCAUGCCCUUAUGUUCUGGGCUACACACGUGCUACAAUGCCGGUACAGACGGACGCAAAGCCGCGAGGUGGAGCAAAUCCUAAAAAGCCGGUCUCAAGUUCGGAUUGCAGGCUGCAAUUCGCCUGCAUGAAGUCGGAAUCGCUAGUAAUCGCAGGUCAGCAUACUGCGGUGAAUACGUUCCCGGGCCUU
This 212-nucleotide ribosomal RNA is filed under the name uncultured Bacillus sp. RNAcentral's name for it is "partial 16S ribosomal RNA". It matches the Rfam family "Bacterial small subunit ribosomal RNA", at positions 1168 to 1382 of the family's 1533-position model. Lineage: Bacteria; Bacillati; Bacillota; Bacilli; Caryophanales; Bacillaceae. The record is from RNAcentral.